Potamilus streckersoni is the source of this 84-nucleotide non-coding RNA. The record is from the annotation of a GenBank genome assembly. NCBI's taxonomy places the organism in Eukaryota, Metazoa, Mollusca, Bivalvia, Unionida, Unionidae.
GCUCCUGUGUCCUAGUGGUUAGAGCGUCCGCCUCAGAUGCGGGAGGUCGUGGGUACGAUCCACGGUCGAGUCAUACCAAAGACU